Trichechus manatus latirostris (Florida manatee) is the source of this 71-nucleotide non-coding RNA. NCBI's taxonomy places the organism in Eukaryota, Metazoa, Chordata, Mammalia, Sirenia, Trichechidae. The record is from the annotation of a RefSeq genome assembly.
GCAUGGGUGGUUCAGUGGUAGAAUUCUUGCCUACCAUGCUGGGGACCCAGGUUCGAUUCCUGGUAAAUGCA